This 811-nucleotide ribosomal RNA is filed under the name Tricharina indica. RNAcentral's name for it is "partial large subunit ribosomal RNA". It matches the Rfam family "Eukaryotic large subunit ribosomal RNA", at positions 71 to 896 of the family's 3401-position model. Lineage: Eukaryota; Fungi; Ascomycota; Pezizomycetes; Pezizales; Pyronemataceae. The record is from RNAcentral.
GGGAUUGCCUUAGUAACUGCGAGUGAAGCGGCAAAAGCUCAAAUUUGAAAUCGGCGUCCUUUUCGGGCAUCGAGUUGUAAUUUGGAGGGAUAACUUCGGUACGGACUACAUCGUAAGUUCCUUGGAACAGGACGUCAUAGAGGGUGAGAAUCCCGUGUCUUGGUGUUUGGCCGUGCCAUGUGAAGUGUCUCCGACGAGUCGAGUUGUUUGGGAAUGCAGCUCAAAAUGGGUGGUAAAUUUCAUCUAAAGCUAAAUAUUGGCGAGAGACCGAUAGCGCACAAGUAGAGUGAUCGAAAGAUGAAAAGCACUUUGAAAAGAGAGUUAAAAAGUACGUGAAAUUGUUGAAAGGGAAGCGCUUGCGACCAGACUCGAUCUUUGGUGAUCAGCCGGGCUUCUGUCCGGUGCCCUUACCAUUGAUUGGACCAGCAUCGGUUCUGACGGCGGGAUAAAAGGAGGAGGAAUGUGGCUCCCUUCGGGGAGUGUUAUAGCCUCCUUCACAAUGCCGCCAGUUGGGACCGAGGACCGCGCUUCGGCUAGGAUGCUGGCGUAAUGGUCUUAAGCGACCCGUCUUGAAACACGGACCAAGGAGUCUAACAUCUAUGCGAGUGUUCGGGUGGAAAACCCUUGCGCGUAAUGAAAGUGAACGGAGGUGUGAACCCUUUACCGGGUGCAACAUCGACCGGUCCUGAUGUCUUCGGAAGGAUCUGAGUAAGAGCAUAGCUGUUGGGACCCGAAAGAUGGUGAACUAUGCCUGAAUAGGGUGAAGCCAGAGGAAACUCUGGUGGAGGCUCGCAGCGGUUCUGACGUGCAA